GGCCACAAAAUCAAAGGUCGAAUCAAUCAUGAUAUUAGAAAUAUUGUUCAAUGUCUUUAGACCCCUUUGUUUGACAACAAAUGAUGAGUUGUAAUUAAUUUCGAAAUAUGUUUUAUAUUUUCUUCUUCUUCAAAAUAGGUGUUGUACUUCAGGAAAAGGGGAAGCAUAUUUGUUGGAAGAUGGAUAAAGAAAUAUUAGAGCAUGCACUAGACUUCUUUAAAUCCUGCUUUUUUAUCAGGUAACAUCAUUGAGUACAAAAGAAAUGCACCUUCACAGUAGACAACUUAUAACCUUUCGACAAGAAAUUGGGACUGCCUGCCAUUCAACCAUUGUACAUAUAUGAAUUUACCAGUCCUGUUGUGAAGAAACUUAUUUCAUCCUCUUUCAAGGGCCAUGUUAUUUAGGAUUUUAACUACUUGUCCUGCAUCACAAGCUUAAAAAGACUUCACAAUCUGACUGCAGAUGGAACUGCAUGGUUUGAAAUCCUCAUAAGAAUUCUGAGAAGCAUGGAGGCCUAUAAACCAGAUAAUGACAAGAUUUCAUAGUUCGAGGAGUACCAGGAAAAUUUACUUGCAGCAAAAUUGUACAUAAAGAUAGACUCACUCAAGCAUGA
Molecule: long non-coding RNA, 613 nt
Organism: Ostrea edulis (European flat oyster)
Lineage: Eukaryota; Metazoa; Mollusca; Bivalvia; Ostreida; Ostreidae
Exons: 2
Source: RefSeq, a predicted model, not a curated record